Bos mutus (wild yak) is the source of this 82-nucleotide small nuclear RNA. The record is from Ensembl. Lineage: Eukaryota; Metazoa; Chordata; Mammalia; Artiodactyla; Bovidae.
GCUCCAAAAAAUGAUACAGAGAAGAUUAGUAUGGCCACUGAGCAAGAAUAACAUGCCAAUACAUGAAGCAGUCUAUAGUUUU